Molecule: long non-coding RNA, 4228 nt
Filed under: Daucus carota (carrot)
Lineage: Eukaryota; Viridiplantae; Streptophyta; Magnoliopsida; Apiales; Apiaceae
Description: long non-coding RNA (DCAR_LNC000190)
Source: RNAcentral
UCAUCUUUGUCCUUUCUCUAUAUAAUCCUUUGUUCUCCACUACUUCUUUCUUCAUAACUUCACACCAUUAACCAAGAAACCUCUCUCUUAAAUUCUUGGUUUUCAAGUGUUUGGAGUGAUCUUUGUGUUAUUUCUUCAUCUGGGCUGCUCUUCAUUCUUGAAGAAAGACUUGUGUUGUUGGAAAUGACUGGUGUUUUGCACUCAGCUUUUGGGAUUUUUGGUGAGUUUUUCAGUUUCAUUGAAGGAUUUUGUUUGUGUUUUGAUUGUUAGUAAUGGGUGGUUUUUGGUGGUGGUUGAAACAGGGGAUUUGACUGGCUUGUUCCUCUUCUUGGCCCCAGUGUAAGUAUUUAGUUUCAUGUACACUUCAAUUUGUUUUAAGAUUAUAUUGUUUGUGUGUUUGUAACAAGAUUGUGAGCUCUUUUGUUACUGUGUUUCAUUCAGAAACUUUAAGGAAUCUGGUUUUAAAGUUUUUAUAUUAUGGCCAUCUUUGAUUUUUGUUUUUUAGUAGUACUGUUCCAUUGAUGUUUUCUUUCUUGAAAAUCUGUAAAAGGUCUGUUUUUCUUCAUUUAUGAAAUGUAGUUGAUAUGGUAUAUUCAUCUCUCUCUCUCUCUCUCUCUCUCUCUCUCUCACACACACACACACAUGUACAAGUUGUUGAUUGAAAUUUGAUGGGAAAAUGACAGAAUCACAUUCAAGAGGAUCCUACUAAACAAAUCUACUGAGCAAUUUUCAGGCAUACCAUAUGUCAUGACCCUCCUCAAUUGCCUGCUUUCUGCUUGGUAAUUUUUUGCUUCAUUACAAUGCUUGUUUGAUGUGGGUCAAUAUCUCAUUGUGUGUGUUUUGGCAUACUUAAAUUAUAAUCACUGAAUAGGUAUGGACUGCCUUUUGUGUCACCGAACAACAUACUAGUUUCGGUGGUAAAUGGAACUGGUGCAGUGAUUGAAGCAGUUUAUGUUCUGAUAUUUCUCAUCUUUGCUCCUAAGAAAGAGAAGAUGAAGAUCUUCGGAAUUCUCAUGGUCAUCCUCACUAUUUUCGGAACUGUUGCCUUUGUGUCCAUGUUCGCGCUUCAUCAUAACAAGCGCAAGGUUUUCUGUGGUUUUGCUGCUGCAAUUUUCUCUGUUAUAAUGUAUGGUUCCCCUCUUUCUGUUAUGGUAAGAACACUUGAUUUUGGCCUAGUCUUUUUGUUAUAUGUAAGGCGUAAAAUAUUAUUUGAUUUGGAUCACAGAAUUAUGACUUGGGUAUUCUGUAAACCUUGAAUCCCUGUGAUUACUCCAAUUGUUAAACGUAUAGUUGUAUGUUCCACCUCACAUAUAAGGCUUCCGUUUUUUUGAAGUUCAUGUGGUCUAAAUGUGCAGAGGAUGGUGAUGAAAACACAAAGCGUCGAGUACAUGCCUUUCUUCUUGUCGUUCUGCAGUUUCCUUUGUGGAACGUCAUGGUUUAUUUAUGGCCUCUUAGGAAAAGACCCCUUUGUAGCUGUAAGUACCGUUGUUUCUCUAUGGUCUUACAAGACACAGACACAAAACUAUGUGUGUUUGUGUAUGUUAUAUGUUUGUUUGAUCUAGUGCAUUCAUAUAAACUGUUCUAAUUUGCAGGUUCCAAAUGGUUUCGGAUGUGGGCUGGGGAUACUACAGCUGAUUCUGUAUGCAACUUACUGCGGAAACAAAGGCCAGACCAAGAAAACUGCUGAUGGAUCAUCUCUGGAGCUGGGGCAGGCCAACGGAGACACCCCGGAUAAGCCAAACCUCAAGUAGGCGAAACAUCAAUGUCGAACAAUCUGCACUACAAUCUCUAGCUUCUAGCUGCUUGUCAAUUGUAAUAUACUCAAGCUAAGCUCUCAAGUUGAGCUCUUGUGUUAUUUCAUUUCCUAGUUGGCUAUUUAGCUGGCUUUUGUACUAGUAUUGUUUUAAUUGUAUUUCUCAGUUUGGUUAAAAAUGUAUGACAUUUUCUAAUCUUUGUUGGUUUAGUGCACAAAAAGAACUUCAAAAUGGGGAAAUGUCUGGUGCAGUUUUAGAGCUUGCUGCUAAAUUUAGGACACUUUUUUUGCUAAUAUUGUGGCAAUUAACUAAUUAAGAAACCUGCAAUCCCAAGAAUGACUUCAUACAAAAUUUUGAUUUUUUUUUUGACAAAUAUGGCUUAUAGCUUUACAAAUGAGUAUCUGUUCUACGAAACUCUCAGGUGAUCUCAGGGUGAGUCAGGGUUGAACCCAGGACCUCGGACGACAGAGGAUAAGCUUUGAAUUUAAUCGCUCACCUAUUACAAAAAUUUAAACAUAGUGCGCAUCACGGAGAAAUUUAAAUACACACGCUCUCAUGUAACCAUUCUUCCAACCACUCCGUUUAAAUAUCACUGUCCAACUUGUAUCUCUUUCAAAAUUCACUAUCUGAUAAUUCAAUUAUAGUACUGUUCCUUCCCUCGUAAACAAGUUUGAUAUAACUUAUAAGUGUUCUGGUUCUGUUGAUGCGCCUUUAUAUUAUACUACUCGGCCCAAUUCGGAUUGAAAACAAACAUAUAAAGGGCCUGUUUGGGACUUAAAAAGUCCAUAAAUUAAGGUCUUGUUUUUUUUUCUAAAACAUACAUAUUUUUAUCUUUUUUGGAUCCAAAGAUCAAGAAAGUGUUAUGACAAAAAAAAAAAUUAAGAAAGUGUUUUAUAUUUAUUUCUGUGAAAAAAUAAGAAUUUAUUUCAGGUACAUGUCAAGACUCCCUACUGAAAAAAUAAAUUAUCUAGCUCCGAACCCCAACCUAACUCAUCCUCGUAUCCUCGUAUAUAUGAAAAUAUGUUAAUUAGUAUAAGACUCGAACCCAAAUCUUUCCGUUACAAAUACAUCACUCAAACCACUUGAGCUACACAAUCAAUUAAAUUUUUAUACAAAAGCAUUAACUACAUACAUUAAACUAUUGUAUUUAUAUUCUUUUCAAUAUCUUAUUUAUUUGAGAUAAAUUAUUAUUUUAUUUAAGUCUCAUAUAUUGUUUACAUUAUAGAUUAAUAUUUAUAAAUUAAUUAUUUACGUAAAUAAAUUUAAAAUUGAAAAGAAUCUCAAUAAUCGGGCUCGAACCAUGAUUCAGAUUUCUAAAAAUAUAUAUAAUUCAUAUUCGAAUAAAAAUGAACGAAUUUAAAUUUAACUUAAUAAUUUAAACGAGUACCAAUACAAUAUUAUAGAAAUUUUAAGUCAUGAAUAUGAGAUAUAAGCACAAAAACUGAGUUUUCAGUGAGCAUUUUGAAAGGAAAGAUUGAGAAAUACUGCUGCGAUCGGAAGUUGCUGGGUAGCUCCAGACAGGGGAUGGUUAAAACUAAAUGUUGAUGCCGCAUUACAUGUGGGUGAAGAUAGUUUUGCAGUUGGUAUGGUCCUUCGAAAUGAGCAUGGAGAAUUUGUGAUGGGAAAAAACUUAAGGAUGGCAGGUCAGGUGACUGUAAUGGAGGCGGAAGCUCAUGGUGUUUACGAGGCGCUAAGGUGGGUGGAUGAUUUAAGGCUCCACCAGGUGGUUAUAGAAAGUGAUUCAAGUCUUGUUGUCCAAGCAUUGCAGCUGAGAUCCUCAUAUUUUCUGGAGGUGGGGAAUAUCUUAGAAGCUUGUCAAGGUAUGCUAGAACAUCGUUCUGAUCUGAUAGUUCAUCAUGUUAAAAGGCAUGCAAAUGGGGUUGCUCAUGUUUUAGCAAAAAUGCCCUGUUUGAUUGAUUGCCAUAAUAUUUUUGUAUCUCCUCCACACUGUGUGUUGGAGAGUUUAUCUGUUGAUUGCUCUUCUACUUAAUAAAACUGGUGUCCUUUGGUUUCAAAAAAAAAAAAAAAANGGAGGCAUGUUCGACACGUGUCCAUCUCACAACAUUAAUUUAAAUAAAUUUUAUUAUUGAAACUUAAAAAAAAUUAAAAAAUUGUUCUCGUAAAACUAAAAAAUAUUGAUGAUUUCUUUACAAAAAAAAUAAAAUAUAUUGAUGAUUUAUUUCGAGUUUUACCGGAUGGCCCGGAAAUAUUACAUCCUAGUCCUUGCUGUGGGUAUGUAUGUGUGUCAUCUUUGUCCUUUCUCUAUAUAAUCCUUUGUUCUCCACUACUUCUUUCUUCAUAACUUCACACCAUUAACCAAGAAACCUCUCUCUUAAAUUCUUGGUUUUCAAGUGUUUGGAGUGAUCUUUGUGUUAUUUCUUCAUCUGGGCUGCUCUUCAUUCUUGAAGAAAGACUUGUGUUGUUGGAAAUGACUGGUGUUUUGCACUCAGCUUUUGGGAUUUUUGGUGAGUUUU